AACGCACCUUGCGCUCUCUGGUAUUCCGGAGAGCAUGCCUGUUUGAGUGUCAUGAACUCUUCAACCCACCGGUUCCUUGUUGAACCGAGUUGGUGUUUGGUUUUUGAGUGUUUUGCUUUGUUUUCGGACAUAGCUCGCUCGUAAUACAUUGGCAUCUCGAUUUCGAAAUUUCGGAUUGACUCAGCGUAAUAGACUAUUCGCUGAGGACACCUUUACCGGUGGCCGUAAUUAUGAUAACAGUAGACGCUUCCAAUCCUACUAGUCAAUUUUAUGAUUAGACCUCAGAUCAGGCAGGAUUACCCGCUGAACUUAA
This 313-nucleotide unclassified non-coding RNA is filed under the name uncultured Chrysozymaceae. Its description in RNAcentral is "sequence contains ITS2". The stretch from base 1 to 52 matches the Rfam family "5.8S ribosomal RNA", at positions 103 to 154 of the family's 154-position model. The record is from RNAcentral. Lineage: Eukaryota; Fungi; Basidiomycota; Microbotryomycetes.